Molecule: ribosomal RNA, 892 nt
Filed under: uncultured eukaryote
Lineage: Eukaryota
Description: bacterial SSU rRNA
Rfam family: Eukaryotic small subunit ribosomal RNA (bases 1-798)
Source: RNAcentral
UUCUGACGUACCGAUGCCACUAGCGAUCCGCCGGUGGUAAUUAGGCCCAGGCGGGGAGCUUCCCGGGUCAAAAGUCUUCCGGUUCCGGGGGAAGUAUGGUUGGUUUGCUGAAACUUAAAGGAAUUGACGGAAGGGCACCACCAGGAGUGGAGCCUGCGGCUUAAUUUGACUCAACACGGGAAACCUCACCAGGCCCGGACACUGUAAGGAUUGACAGAUUGAGAGCUCUUUCUUGAUUCAGUGGGUGGUGGUGCAUGGCCGUUCUUAGUUGGUGGAGCGAUUUGUCUGCUUUAUUGCGAUAACGAACGAGACUCUAGCCUGCUAACUAGUCACUGCAGGAUUCCUUUGUUGCAUCCUGCGAAAACGAAUCUUCGUAUACGGACAGGCGGCUUCUAGCCGCACGAGAUUGAGCAAUACCAUGUCUGUGAUGCCCUUAGAUGUUCUGGCCCGCACACGAGCUACGAUGAAUGUAUCAUGGUGUCCUGCCUGGGCGAAAGGUCGGGGUAACCCGCUGAAACGGCUUCGUGCUUGGGAUUGGUCCCUGAAAUUGUUCAACAUGAACGAAGAAUUCCCAGUAAAGGCGUGUCAAUUACACGCCUUGAUUACGUCCCUGCCCUUUGUACACACCGCCCGAUGAUACUAUUGAUUGAAUGAUUUAGAGAGUUCUUCGAACUGUUUCGCGAUGUUCCUUCGUGGAUCGCCGCUGCCGUCUGACAGAUGACCAUGCUUGAUCAUUAUAGACGAAGUAAAGGUUCCUAACAGUGUAUCCUGUAGGAAGGAUCUGCGGAAAGAUCACGGACGAAUACGUCUAAUCCUGCUAGACUAGAGUCCGUAUAGCGAUGGUCAUCCCGGAGUUGCAAAAAAUCAUGUCGACUGUUUUUCCGGGAAUCGA